Molecule: transfer RNA, 77 nt
Filed under: Bacillus inaquosorum
Lineage: Bacteria; Bacillati; Bacillota; Bacilli; Caryophanales; Bacillaceae
Also listed under: 9 other names
Description: tRNA-Met
Rfam family: tRNA
About the family: Transfer RNA (tRNA) molecules are approximately 80 nucleotides in length. Their secondary structure includes four short double-helical elements and three loops (D, anti-codon, and T loops).
Source: RNAcentral
CGCGGGGUGGAGCAGUUCGGUAGCUCGUCGGGCUCAUAACCCGAAGGUCGCAGGUUCGAAUCCUGCCCCCGCAACCA